RNAcentral lists this ribosomal RNA (492 nucleotides) under uncultured bacterium. RNAcentral describes it as "partial 16S ribosomal RNA". It matches the Rfam family "Bacterial small subunit ribosomal RNA", at positions 29 to 507 of the family's 1533-position model. The record is from RNAcentral.
AGUGAACGCUGGCGGUAGGCCUAACACAUGCAAGUCGAACGGCAGCACAGUAAGAGCUUGCUCUUACGGGUGGCGAGUGGCGGACGUGUGAGGAAUACAUCGGAAUCUACUUUUUCGUGGGGGAUAACGUAGGGAAACUUACGCUAAUACCGCAUACGACCUACGGGUGAAAGCAGGGGAUCUUCGGACCUUGCGCGAUUGAAUGAGCCGAUGUCGGAUUAGCUAGUUGGCGGGGUAAAGGCCCACCAAGGCGACGAUCCGUAGCUGGUCUGAGAGGAUGAUCAGCCGCACUGGAACUGAGACACGGUCCAGACUCCUACGGGAGGCAGCAGUGGGGAAUAUUGGACAAUGGGCGCAAGCCUGAUCCAGCCAUACCGCGUGGGUGAAGAAGGCCUUCGGGUUGUAAAGCCCUUUUGUUGGGAAAGAAAAGCAGCAGGUUAAUACCCCGCUGUUCUGACGGUACCCAAAGAAUAAGCACCGGCUAACUUCGUG